AAUCUUCACAAUAAACGGGCUGAAGGAUGAGGGUUGGUCUUACAAGAUUAAGGUUAGCUUCGUUGAAAUUUACAACGAAGUUAUCCGAGAUCUCCUGCUCUCUCCAGGAGAGCCAACAAAUUUGAAUUAUGAACAUAGAUUAGUGGACAAAACAAAAACUGAGACCUUUGUCACUAAUUUGAAAAUCAAAAUGGAAGCAAAAGGAGUGAAUUCACUUUCGAUCAGGUGUACGGGCCAAGAGCAACACAAACAAAAAUAUUCGAAGAAAUAUCACAGCUCUGUCAGUCGGUAAUAGACGGACAGAACGCAUGUGUAUUGGCGUAUGGGCAAACAGGCUCGGGAAAGACUUACACAAUGGAAGGUGUGCUUCAGAACGAAGAGCAGCAGGGCAUGAUUGCUCGGACGGUGAAGUAAAUCUUCACAAUAAACGGGCUGAAGGAUGAGGUAUGAGAAUUCUUAAAUUUUCUUUCAAGACACAAAUAACCCGCACAUGGAAGAGAGAAGCUUACGACGACGUUUCUGUCUGACUUGGACCAUUU
Cherax quadricarinatus is the source of this 539-nucleotide non-coding RNA. NCBI's taxonomy places the organism in Eukaryota, Metazoa, Arthropoda, Malacostraca, Decapoda, Parastacidae. The record is from RefSeq and is a predicted model, not a curated record.